GUGCCAGCCGCCGCGGUAAUACGAAGGGUGCAAGCGUUACUCGGAAUUACUGGGCGUAAAGCGUGCGUAGGUGGUGAGUUAAGUCUGUCGUGAAAGCCCCGGGCUCAACCUGGGAAUGGCGAUGGAUACUGGCUCGCUAGAGUGCGGUAGAGGAGAGUGGAAUUCCCGGUGUAGCAGUGAAAUGCGUAGAGAUCGGGAGGAACAUCAGUUGCGAAGGCGGCUCUCUGGACCAGCACUGACACUGAGGCACGAAAGCGUGGGGAGCAAACAGGAUUAGAAACCCCCGUAGUCC
This 292-nucleotide ribosomal RNA is filed under the name uncultured bacterium. RNAcentral's name for it is "partial 16S ribosomal RNA". It matches the Rfam family "Bacterial small subunit ribosomal RNA", at positions 505 to 796 of the family's 1533-position model. The record is from RNAcentral.